RNAcentral lists this ribosomal RNA (444 nucleotides) under uncultured Streptococcus sp. Its description in RNAcentral is "bacterial SSU rRNA". It matches the Rfam family "Bacterial small subunit ribosomal RNA", at positions 936 to 1382 of the family's 1533-position model. The record is from RNAcentral. Lineage: Bacteria; Bacillati; Bacillota; Bacilli; Lactobacillales; Streptococcaceae.
AGCAUGUGGUUUAAUUCGAAGCAACGACGAAGAACCUUACCAGGUCUUGACAUCCCGAUGCUAUUCUAGAGAUAGAAAGUUACUUCGGUACAUCGGUGACAGGUGGUGCAUGGUUGUCGUCAGCUCGUGUCGUGAGAUGUUGGGUUAAGUCCCGCAACGAGCGCAACCCCUAUUGUUAGUUGCCAGCAUUCAGUUGGGCACUCUAAGGUGACUGCCGGCUAAAAGUCGGAGGAAGGUGGGAUGACGUCAAAUCAUCAUGGCCCUUAUGCCUGGGGCGACACACGUGCUACAAUGGAUAGGACAGAAAGACGCAAGACCGCGAGGUGGAGCAAAUCUUUAAACCUAUUCUCAGUUCGGAUUGGAGUCUGCAACUCGACUCCAUGAAGCUGGAAUCGCUAGUAAUCGCGGAUCAGCCAUGCCGCGGUGAAUACGUUCCCGGGUCUU